AUCUAGCUGAAGAGUCCCAAAUAGGAUGAAACGCACGUACUGAAU
Molecule: non-coding RNA, 45 nt
Organism: Schistosoma mattheei
Lineage: Eukaryota; Metazoa; Platyhelminthes; Trematoda; Strigeidida; Schistosomatidae
Source: Rfam